AGAGUUUGAUCCUGGCUCAGAAUCAACGCUGGCGGCGCGCCUAACACAUGCAAGUCGAACGAGAAAGGGGAGCAAUCCCUGAGUACAGUGGCGUACGGGUGAGUAACACGUGGAUGAUCUACCCCUUAGUUUGGAAUAACCAUGGGAAACCGUGGCUAAUACCGGAUAAGCUCGAGAGAGGAAAGCAGCAAUGCGCUGAGGGAGGAGUCCGCGGCCGAUUAGCUAGUUGGUAGGGUAAGAGCCUACCAAGGCAAAGAUCGGUAGCCGGCCUGAGAGGGCACACGGCCACACUGGCACUGAAACACGGGCCAGACUCCUACGGGAGGCAGCAGUGGGGAAUCUUGCACAAUGGGGGAAACCCUGAUGCAGCGACGCCGCGUGAGCGAUGAAGCCCUUCGGGGUGUAAA
RNAcentral lists this ribosomal RNA (407 nucleotides) under uncultured bacterium. Its description in RNAcentral is "bacterial SSU rRNA". It matches the Rfam family "Bacterial small subunit ribosomal RNA", at positions 8 to 429 of the family's 1533-position model. The record is from RNAcentral.